GUAGUUGACGUCCGUGCACGAGACGACGCUGGCGGCGUGCUUAACACAUGCAAGUCGAACGGAGUGCCUCGGAAAGAGAUUUCGGUCAAUGGAAGAGGUUACUUAGUGGCGGACGGGUGAGUAACGCGUGAGGAACCUGCCUUUCAGAGGGGGACAACAGCUGGAAACGGCUGCUAAUACCGCAUAACAUAUAGGUAUCGCAUGGUGCCUAUAUCAAAGAUUUAUCGCUGAAAGAUGGCCUCGCGUCUGAUUAGCUAGUUGGUAGGGUAACGGCCUACCAAGGCGACGAUCAGUAGCCGGACUGAGAGGUUGGCCGGCCACAUUGGGACUGAGAUACGGCCCAGACUCCUACGGGAGGCAGCAGUGGGGAAUAUUGGGCAAUGGGCGCAAGCCUGACCCAGCAACGCCGCGUGAAGGAAGAAGGCUUUCGGGUUGUAAACUUCUUUUAAGAGGGAAGAGUAGAAGACGGUACCUCUUGAAUAAGCCACGGCUAACUACGUA
This 501-nucleotide ribosomal RNA is filed under the name uncultured Oscillibacter sp. RNAcentral describes it as "bacterial SSU rRNA". It matches the Rfam family "Bacterial small subunit ribosomal RNA", at positions 1 to 507 of the family's 1533-position model. Lineage: Bacteria; Bacillati; Bacillota; Clostridia; Eubacteriales; Oscillospiraceae. The record is from RNAcentral.